UUGGGGGUCACUGUGAUUGCAGGGGUUGGGUAUUAUCCAGGAGCUUCAUUUGCAAAAGCAGUUUUGUGUGAUUGUGGGAGGGAAGCCCAGGCAGUGGGGAGGGGCUGCCCCUGACCUCAGCAGAGCCACCACCCUAAGGCCAAAUUGCACACUCCCCCUCUGCCACCACUGUGACUGUUACCCUCCUGGUUUACAGCUGAGGAGACUGAGGCUCAGGGAGGAGGACGGUCCGGCUAAGGGCACAAGGGCAGGCCAUGGCAGCGGGUCUUGUCCUCCCCACCCAUCACUCUGACCUCGCCCUAACCCCCUGGACCAAGUGAUGCCCUUUCCAGGGAGAAAUAUGAUGUCUGGGGAAGUGGCUUAGCGCCCUUGGGGAAAUCAGCACCAGACAGAAUAUGGUCAGACACUCAACCUGUGCCCCCAGCCCUCAGAAGUGGCUCCGCAGUGUGCCAAGCCCUGUGCCCGUCGGCUGUGGCCCUGCCUCCAGGACCUCAUAGUGGAGGGAGACAAGAGAUCCUGAUGCAGAGGGAUCCUGAGAAAGAGGGGUAAGGACUCCAUGGGUUUAGGAGGUGAAGAUGGGACUGUACCCAGCCCAGGAGUCCUAGAGGGCUGCUUGGAGGAAGAGGCUUCUGAGCUGAGACCUGCCAGAAACAGAUAAUUAGCUGGAGGCAGCCCUGGAUAUUUGGGUCCUGAGGGCCAGGGCAACUGUGGGGCAUCUUGGGGCGGAGCUCCCGCCACCCCUCCCCAUGCUCAUUCCACAGCUGCCAGGCCUGGGCAGGGCCACCCAUCCUGGCGCCCAGCGGGACUGCACAGCUGUGGCCAUCUGCAGGGCUGGCCAAGUUGGCAGUGUUUGGCUGCUCCGGGUCUCCCAUAAGAGUCACUGCAGAGUGGAUCAAUGUUUGGGAGGCCCUGGUGCCAUUAGAAAGCCUGUUUUUCUCUAGCAGAGCUGGGCACCUUCCGGGUCGCCUUCACCCACCCUGGAGAGCAGGCAUCACCACCCAUCUGACAGGCCCCAGAAGGACCCAGAGUGAGGCUCAGAGAGCUGAAACUGGCCAGGCACACCACGUCCCACCAGGUGUCCCAGGGCUCUGUCCCCAGGACACUCAGUAUCCAAUGGAGGACCUGUGCUCCAGCUGGCACUGCAAGGGCACAGAUACUGGCUCUGGAUACUACUAGAGGCAGAGGCUGGGAAUGGCCCUGAAACAAGCAUGAUUAGGAAGUGGCAGGACCAGCUCUUAAGGUCGACAUGCUGACCUGCUGGACCUGUGCAGCUGAGGAGCCCACCCUCCUGGAAAUCGAAGGUCCUCUUCUGGUCUGGCUCCCCGCCCUGAAGCCGUGUGGACUGAGCUGUGUCAUGGGCCAAGCUAUCUCUGGUUCCUGGGAUGGAGAAGCCCUGGCUGUGGCCCCUGGGAGUCCCAGCCCUAAGCACAGCUGCAGCGCUGGUAAGGGCUGGCCCCAUAGUGUUGGCUGUCACGGCAGCACGAGGAAGGGCAGCUGCCUGCAGGAAAAAUGCUUCCCAGGACAUCAAGAGUUGUCCUCAAAAAGAGAGGACCAUGGACAAGAGGGAUUUUCUAGCUAGAGGCCAGGAGUGCAAAAGAAAUGCAAAUUCCUGCAAGAUGAGCGCUUAAGGUAGGAAAGGUGUCAGUGUGCCCUUGGGUAGGUGUGGGGACAGAGGUGACGUAGUGGGGACCCAGCUUCCCUAUGAUUGCAGCAGUGUGCUCACUCCUUUUCCUGCACAGCUGCAUCAGGAAACUGCCUGCAUUGUUUCUCUGUCAUCUGUCUGUCUGUCUUUUAUGUCUAUGUUUGCUGAUGAUUAAAACCAGGGUUAGGCAAGGGCUGUACCACAUCAUCAACCCUUUUAACUUUGAGAUGGGACCUUGCUGAUUUUUCCAGGCUGCCCUGAAAUUUACUCCUGUCUCGGCCUCUAAAGGAGCCAGAAUUACAGGCAUACACUACUACAUUGGCUUCUGACUGCUUUGCUCACCUUUAUAUGCCAGACCUAUCCCAGUGCCCAGCACAGAGCAGUGACUCAACCCUGUGCAGGCAUCACCAAUCAAUCACAUCACUCUUCCGCUCAGUCUAGAAGUGCCCCUGAGGACUCCUCAGAGCCACACAUGUGGUAAGACUUACAUGCACCCUGGUCAAGUCCAGAACUCAGAUUUUUCAGAUGUCCAAAUAGCAUACUUUCAAAGUUGGGGGAAGGGACCAUAGUCAUAACUGAACAUUUACAAGUGAUUUCUGUGUAUCAGGCACAGUUCUCAACUCUUCACAAGUAUUUAAUUUCUGUGACAUCCCUAUGACAUUAGUGAUAUUCUUGAUCUUCCCAUGUUCAUUUUGGUUUGGUUUGGUUUUGAAACCCAGUGUCAAUAAGUCCAGGGUGGCCUUGAACUCACCAAGUUGCCCAAGUUGGCCUCCAACUUGUGACCCUCCUGCCUCAGCCUCCCAGGUGCUGGGAUUACAGCUGUGUGUCAGCACACCCUGUUCCUCUUCCUGGUUUAGAGGGGAAGCUGAGGCACAUCAGGAAGUUGCAAGCAAGGGUUUAAGGCCAGGAGCCGGACUUUCAAUUUCCAUGUCCUGCGCGGCUCCUCUGCUCACGUGGAACCUGUGGACCCCAGAGCCGGCCAAGUUGCCGGCUGUGCAUUCAGCCUCACUGCGAGGUCCUGCCUUGGUCUUAUCCUAGCUGAGUCAGAGCUGGCAGGGCCCAGCCAGGCCUGGGAUCCAUCUGCCUUUCCGCAGCUCUGGGCCCGUUUCCUCCAGCCUAGAUGGCUUCCCGCGGUGUCUCUGCAGGCCCUUUCAAGUCCCCUGGCACCUCCAGCCCCACUUCCUGUGACCCAUGGCCCUGGCCUGACCCGCUCCACUCAAUUUCCCAAGAUGAGUUGCAGAAGCUUCGGAGUCUGUGUGCGGACACCAGAGAAUUAACGAGCUGCUCCCCGGCAGUUGGCAGUUUCCAGGCACCAGCUGGCCUGGAGUAUUUACCCGGCACCCUCAGAGCGAGACAAUUAAAUGGAGCUUAGGCCGGGGUGCAGAGAUGUCUAUGAUCAGACAAAACCCUCCUAAGAUGUUUUUCUAAGGGAUCGGUGCCUGAGGCAAGUUUCCAGGGCCCUGCAGUCUUUAUUCAUUCUUAAUAGUGUAUGAUAUGCUAAUUCCAGACCACUUAUUAUAUAUAUAUUUGCUCAUUUAUUUAGUAUUUACUAUGUGCCAGGCUUUUUACUUUGUUAAAUACUCUGCAAAAGAUUCAAUCAUCUCAAGCAGACGUAAUUAUUCCAUUUUGCAACAGAGGAAACUGACCCUGGUAGGAUGGGCAGACAUCUCCCAGGUCAUUCCAGGAAGCAGAAUUUGAACCCAGAAUGGUCCGACUCCAAUGUUCUGUUUCUUGCCAUAGGCCAGGCCCCCUUCCUGUGUUGGGGUGCACGGCACAGCAUGUGAGGCACAGUGUUAGGCUGUGCCAACAGCAAGAGGAGACCCAGUGUACACCAGUACCUACUCUGUACCAGGCACAGAGUUGUAGGCCAAGCCCCGCUGCGUGCUGAGAGAUGUUCUAGAGAUCAUGUGGUGCAGAUGUGAGCCCAGAAAGUCUGGCACUCUUAAAUUUUUUCCGAAGGUGGCAUUGGACACACCCCAGUGCUGAGCCUGAGGUCUGAUUAGGAGUCUGCAGGUAAAGAGGGGACUUUCCAGGUGAAGAAUUCAGGUUUGACACCAUGGUGCUCUGCAUGCUAAGGAAGGGGCUGGGACUGUCUGCCCGGGAGUCUGAUAAGAGGAUUGAGCUCAGUAGCUUUGUGCUGGGGACCUGGGCACCAGCCACGGAGAAGAGGCCGAGGACGUGGGAGCCGAGUCAUUGCUGCCACCCGCCAUGCCCAAGGCAGGAAGGCUGCCUGCUGAUACCACACAGCAGGGACCCUGUCCUUGGGCCCUAUGAAGGUGGGGUCAAGAUGAGCACUUGGCCCUUGAGAUGCCCAGGCCCUCCUGCUGCCCUCUGGGAGCAUCACAUCCACACUUCUCUUUGGGCCUUGGUUCUCCCCAAAUCAAAGAAGGAUCAGAACCAGAGGUCACCAUGCGCCUCUGUACCCACAGUCCUCUGAGACACAGGGGUGCGGGCAUCCCUUUCUCAGGCGUUUCCAGCUGGGGGUGGGUGGGGCAGGGAUGCAGUGGCUUCCAGGGACCACGGCCAUUCAGGGACAGCCCAACCCCAGCAGAGCUGCCCAGGCAGGAAAUCACCUGCCAACCUCUCCACCCCAAUCCAGCAAGCACUUUGUGAUUACUGGUCACCAAGUCUCUGCUGAGUCGUCACUUGGUCCUUGUUACUCUAGGGUAAUGCUGGGAAAAGUCAGCUCUCACGGGGGACUUUCAGACAUCCCAGAAGGACAGAGCCUCGUCUCCUCCCCAAGCUCACUCAGCGCUCUGACCACUAGUGGCCUGCUUAUUGCAAUGCCCUGUUCCAGUGGGGUCAGGUGACACCAAGCAAAACUAGGGAGUCAGAAGAAACAAAGUCUGAUCUCAGCUUGACCACUCAUUGGCUGUGUGACCCAGAGCGAGUCCCUUGCCCUCUCUGAGCCGCCAUUUUCUCACCUGUAAGCUGAGAAGGGUUGGAUGGAUGAAGUCUUCCGAGUCCUGGGUGUGAACAUGCAUCACCCAAGCCCUGUCCCAUUUCUGCUGCUAGGCUGAGGGAGGGUUCAGCCAUCCCGUGCUUUGGGCACCACGAGCCUAGGAGACCAAGUCAGGGGUCAGCUCCAACACCUGUGACCCCUACACUGGACCCAAAUUUUCCAUGCACUUCUGUGUCUGAGCCCUUCUCCCUGGUUGACCCCAGUGGGUCAGGACAGCAGGUCACCUGCCCCAUACAUAGGAUAUCGGGUCCAGGCAGAAAGGAAAUGGCUUUUCCCCGCACUGGACACUCUCGGUCCAGUGCCCCCAAGCCUGUCUGUCCUUGUAGUGGUGAGAUGACCCUCCUUGGAUGCUGGGCUUGGUGGGAUGAGCCUUGCAGCCCUGCCCCGUGUAGCUGUGUGACCUGGGGGCAGGUUACUUCCCUCCCUGAGCCACUGGACAUUUGUCUCACCUCCUUCUGUGGUCUGGGGAGAAGCAUGACAUCAUAGUGGGUUUGGACACCAGUCAGUGCCCCUGAGUCACACACCUUUGGUGAGAAAAGCACUAAGGGCUGGAUGGAGAUGGAAAUUAUAAGCCUACAAAGCUGUGGUGGGGAGGGAGUGGUACCAGAGGUGCCUAAGCUGCCAGCUGAGCUGGAGGGACCUCUGGAAAAAGCUGGGGCUGCGCAGAGCCAGGGGCUGGGGCGUGGCUCAGUGCUACAGCACUUACCUAGCAUUUACAGAGUCCUGGGUUACAGCCUCAGCACUGCCAAAACAGCAACAAAAAUCUACUUUGCCAAGAAGGUGCCUGUAAGGAGCAGGAGCGGGGCACUUCAGGGACAGUCACAGUGAGAAGCAUGUGGCACCGGGCAUCUGGGUUGAACUGGAUCCUGGCCUCAGCCUCCUCAUCUGUAAAAUGGGCACGGAGACAGUCAUGAGGAUCAAAGGGCUGGGGACCAGCCUGGUAUCACUGGGGCUUCAUAAGCAGUCGCUGGCUUUGAUCUUCACAGUGGGUGGGCGUGAUGGGUGGCUGUUUCCAGCUGUUCGAGGCUUUGCAAGCAACCUGCGCCUGGCAGGUGUUUGAUGGGAGUUGGUUGGAUGGCCAGAUCGAUGAUUUGGUGAAUGGACAGAGAGAAACAAAUGAAUGACCAAUGGCCACCCUCGCCGAGGAGCUUAAUCUGUGUUUUGUGUGCCGCCAGCUAACUGCUGACAUCUAGUAGCCUCUAAUUGAUGGUUUGCAACUUAUUUAAUUAGGCGUAUUGUAUUAUGUAUUUGUGUCACGGUUCAAUCUGACAAUUCAUUAUAAUCUUUUUAAAUCCAAUCCCUUACCUAGUACUGUUUUGUUUACAAACAUGACCACACCUGCCAACUGGCCUCAUCCUCAAGGUAACCUGUCAGGCAGGUCCUCGGCUCCUGUUUUCCAGGUAAGGAAACCGAGGCUCAGAAGAGUUUAGUGACUUUUUAUAGGUAACACAGCUCUUAAGCUGCAGGGCCAGAAUUCAGACCCUGGAUCUUUUUUGUCUUCCUGGGGCACUGCCUGUUGGGGUGUAACACUUCGGCAACCUUGGAGCCAGGUGUGGAAGUGUCCGGUGGGCUGAGGGAGGCAGAAGGGGGAGACAAGAAGAUGAAGUAGCCUCUUAGAGACCAGAGGCUUCGGGUGGGAGCAGCACAAUGCCUGUUCCAGGCUGCAGCCUGCUCCCUGGGAAGAAUAAGGGGCCCCGGCCACAGGAGGCUGACCUCCUGGUGGGCACCUGAGGGGCCUGCAGCUUCUUUACUGAAGAUCGCUGGGGGCCACCUCAAGUGCAGCCCUGAUCACAGAGGGCAGAUCCCGGGAACUCUGGGCGGGAGUGUCCCUGAGCGGGUGUUCGGUGGCUUUGGUGCAUUAAAUGCAUCUGUGGCUUGUGCCAUUUCCAGCUUACGGUGGCCCCACUGGGACAACAUCAUGGUGAAGAGGGGCGCCCGUAUGUAUUCCAUUCCAUGCUCCUGUACCACCCUCUACCCCGCAUCUGCCCGCAUCACCCCCACAGCCCGUGCCCCCCAUUCUGAGGUUUAGAAGCUGUCAUCCCCCAUGUGUUUGUUUGCCUGUAUUUGCAGUCAGCACCUUGUCUGUGGACCCACGGGGCCCACGUCUGUGGAUUCAACCAGCCGUGGAUGGAAAAUAUUCGAGGGAAAAUUACAUCUGUACCAAACAUGUACAGACUCUCUUUCCUUGUGAUUGCUCCCUAAACAAUACCAUGUAACAACAAUUGACGUGGCGUUUACAUUCUAUCAGGAAUUACAAGUCAUCGAGCGAUGGUCUGGUGUCUGCAGGAGGACGCGUGUGGGUCCUGUGCCGUUGCUCUGCUGUUUUGUAUCAGGGAUCUGAGCCUCUGUAGGUUUGGGUACCCCCAGGAGUCCUGGAGCAUCCCCAAGGGACGACUGUGUUUCGUUACUGAAGAUCGCUGGGGGCCACCUCAAGUGUGGCUCAGCAGGGCAGUGGGAAGCAGGUGCCCAGGUCCACAUCCAGAGCAGGAGAAAGAGGCCAGAUUCCGCCUGGAGGAGGCAGCCCUGUGCUCCCGGGCAAGAAAACAGGACAAACGGAGAAAGACUGUCACCACCAGGCAUGUGUUUGAUGCCAUGCGGUGCCUUUUCCCUCCUCUCCACAGUCUCCCUUGUGGUGCCCCAGAGUGGCCUCCUCCGGCCCUCUGUAGACCAGGGCACCAAGGCCAGAGAGGUGAAUGACCGCAUUCCCUCCGGGUCACACGGCGAGGUGCCUCUUUCCAGGAUGGGGUGAGUGUACUGGACAGGAUGGCCAGGACACGAGGGAAAUAGGAAGCCGGCACCCCCAGCCCAGUGCCCAGAGCUGUACAGCUGUAUCUCUCCACCACCCCCACCCAGGCCAGCCGAGGCCACAGGCCGCGUGGUUUACAAGGCACAGCGUGGCCUAAGCUGUUUGGCCUCCCGGAUGCAGGCCGGCUCAUCUGGGGCACGUUUGCGCCUUUAUGAGUGUUCUUCAAAAGGUUAGCUCUGUGCUCGUCACCAUGGAGACAGCGCUGGGUGGCUGAAACAGUGUGCCCUCCCAGGCCACGAGUGCAGGCUGCCGGGUACUGCUGUGUGCCAUGCGGGCCUGGUCCCCAAGGCCUCCCUCAGGGGCACUCGAUGGGGGGCGAGGGCCCCGGGUGAAAUCCAGUCCAGGAGAAGUGACAGCAUCAAGUCUGCAGCAUGGAUGGGGCUGGGAUCCCCCCUCUGCCCCGUGGGUGGCUCCCCAUGGAUCACACCCUUGGACUUGGGAAUCCGGGUCUGAAUCCCGAAGCUUGGCCACAUACCCUACAACCUCCCCAAUUCCCAUUAUGUGAGCAGAAACCGGCCCAGAGAAAGGAAGGGAUUUAUCCGAGGUCACCCGUCAAGGCGAAGGCUGAGGCACCUCCCGCUGCCCACACACACACACACACACACACACACACACACACACACACGCGGGCAGGGCUGCGUCCUGUCCCAGGAGGACGGGCUGGCUGAGGCUGGCCUUGGCCCCCAGCCUCUUUGGCUCUCACUUUGGAUUCACGUCUCCAGGGCCGUUCAAAGAUUCCAAAGGCGUUUGAAGGUUUUGGAGGCAAUUUGUCAGUCCUGGAGAUUGUUCCGAGGCUCCAAAGGCUGUUUAAAGAUUCCAGAAUCUGUGGCGUGCACAAAAGCCGGUGUUCUAGGCUUUGGGGAGCCUGAUGCGGCAGGACAGCAAGGUGCUGGGCUACGCUGCAGGGAGGCUGAUGGCAGCGUGAGCUCCCCGCUCUCUCACUGAGGUCUCUGUCUGCGAAGCCACCAGGCCGCUCUGGCGUCUGCUGGGAAGAGGAGCAGGAGCUGUGUGGAUGUCACCUCGGGAAGCCAGGGUUUAGAAUGCAGCCCUACUGCUCACUUGUGGAGCGACCCAGGGGAAGUUACUUAACCUCUCUGGGCCUCUUUUCCCCUCAUUUGGAAUUCACUGUACUGCCUGUUCUGCAGGCCCAACCGUCCCCCUUCCAUCUUGUGUCAGGCAUUUGUGGGGUUAGUCAGGGGACACCCCAUCCUGUGCUGGUCAGCAGUGUCCUGACUGCUGCUGCUACAGUUUUCGGGGUCUCCAUCCAGGUGGGAACCUGGCCUCCUGCUUGCCUACCACCAGACCUCUCCAAGGCUGUAUCCAGUACUUGGGAAGGAGCCAUGGGCCAUGCAGGUCAGAAUGACCAAGACGCCCGUGCCCACCCAUGUGCCCUGAGAGCCCAGGCCAUAGUCCUUUGCCUGCUUCCUGCCCUGUCACCAGCUCCAGCUUUAUCACACCCUACCUCCAUCCCCUGUCACUGACCCAGAUCCCCCCAUCCUUUCCCUCCUCCCCCAUGUGUCAUGGUGCUACUUCCUCUGGGCUUUGCACAGGCUGUUCCCUCUGCCCAGAAUGCUGUUCCACCUCUGACCUCACAGGCCUCCUCCAUCCCCUCUCCCCACAGCACCUGCACAGGCCAGGCCUGGAGCUGAGAGUCAGACAAACCCAUGGCCUGGCCGGGCCUCUCUCCUGCAGCAUGGCCUAGGAUAGGCCCAUGGCCCAGCCCACCCAAGCCUCAGUUUCCCCCAUACACAGCAGAGUAAUAACUCAAGCUGCCAGUCUCCCAGACAGGUUUGGAGAGUCAGAAGCAGAAGUGAGGGACAGGAGUAGGGGUAUAAACCGCAGUGCCCAGCAAUGCUGCCCACAUGACUCACCCACCGUCACCCUGGGGCUCUGUCCACACCACUGCUGUGGAACCACCCGUGGCAGCUGGGCACCAUCACACCAAGCACCAUCAUUACACCUGAACUCUGCUAAGUUCUCUGCUUAUUUUUAACAUGUGUCAGCUCAUCGAGUACCUCCCCAGCAGCUGAGGAAGCAGGCACCGAUGGUUCUGUUUCCCAGAUGAAAUGUGGCCCAGAGAGGCUUAGCAACUCAUCAAAGGUCACACAGCUAGAAAGUAUCCCAGCAACACCAGAACUCACACCCACCUGGCACCAGCACAUGUUGCUAGAUGAUGCUAAUUUCUGUCUUUUUUAGUUCUGUAACCACAUAUUCUGUAUAAUCCCGCCCAGUAGCCUUGUGUCCAGCCCUCUCUGUGCUUUGGGCAUCCGGGGUUUGUCUGUUGGGCCACCUGGGAUUGUUACAGGGCGGCUGUGCUGUGGUCUGGAUGCCCAUUCGGCAGACACUAGCGUGAAACUUCAGAGCAGCCCAGCCCAUUAGCUCUCCCCUGGGAGCCCCGGGCGGACUCCAGUUCUCAGGUCCUGUGUCCUCCGUCGGACUGGCCAUCCCACUGCGUGUGAUAGUCGGGGGCGACCAACCAGGCAGCUGGGACAGGACAACCCUGCCCCAAGAGCCAUGGGUUCAGGCUGGGUGGGGAGCAGCCGUUAGGUCGUGGAAGUGCUUAGUGGGAAGGGCCCAGCCGCGGGUCCCCUCCCUGCAGGGCCGCUGGAGUGGACGGAGUUGUGUGUUCUUUCCUUAGGGCUGUGUGACCUGGGAGGAGACACGCAGCCUCUCUGAGCCUCAGUCUGUCACCUCCCUUGCGCCACUGACCCUUUUGUCCCUCCCUGGACCCCGUCGCCCACCUGUAUUCAGGGUCAUCACGCUGUCGUUUCCGUCCUUUAGGCUUUACACAAGUGGCUGCCGAGCCCGGCCUGCUCCCCGUCCACCCCCACCCAGCCGUCCUGCCCUCUCCCCUAAGCACUCACACUCCUCACCCUGUCCACAGUCCCUCCCAACAUCUUAGCAUUCGCUGGCCCUGCAGGCCCCCUCCGCACCCCAGCCUAGAUCUGGGGCCUCCCCACCGCGCCCCCACCUUGCCAUCAGCCCCUUGUCCCCUUCCCUCUGGCAGCCAGAGCCAUCUUCCUGAACUGGAAGCCUGGGCCCGGCACACCCGGGUCACACACAGGGCAGAACCGAACUCCUGCUCACCCCGCGAGGAAGGCCCGGCCGCGUCCUCCCAGCCUGACGCCUGUGCGUGCACCUGCACUGCCCCAGCCUAAUGCCUCCUCCUCUCCCUUCCCCAGCCUCAGUCUUCUAACCCUUCAUCCCCCAUUCAGGGUUCUGCCUCCACCCCUUCCCCGAGCCUGGGCUGGUUGCCUAGCCUGCUGGCACCAUGUCCCCAUGCUUGUCACUCUGACCGUCAUCACCUGCUUGCCUGGCUCCCUCCCUAGUCAGUGGAACCCCGUCUCCUGGUUCCAGGAUGGCCUUUGGGUGUUGGAGCAACUGUCCCUGGAAAGAAUCUCACUUCCCGGCUUGCCAGCAGCUGGUCAGACUCUGCCCGCAGCUCCCAAGCUGUGCUGUGUGACCCCAGGCAAGUGCCUCCCCCUCUCUGUCCCUUGGCUGCUAAGCAUCUAUAAAAGAACACAGUGGAACUGGGUGGCUUCCCAGGGCUCUGUCAGUUCAGCAGGUCCCAGCAGAUGCCUCUGUGUCUGCUGGUCUCUGUGCCCUGUUGUCCUGCCUUGAAAUUCCAGCUUUCACCUUUCACCACUCUGGGAGUGGCCUCUCUGGUGACCCUGCUGUUCCCACUCUGCUCCCAGACUUCCUGUGGGGACCGAGUUCUCCCUUGUGCAAUUCCAGAUCCAGGUCGAAGGGCAGGCCUGGAAACCUCGCGUCCCCCACCUACCCGGCUGUCCUGGGACUGGCCAUCUGCACAGCCUCAGCAGGACCAUUAACUCACCGGCCAGUUAGGCCAGAAGACGUGCCGCGGUGUGCGGUGUGGCUCUUGGAAGAGCCUAGACAGGAGCUGGUCAUACUCACCCUGUCCACGAGUCCUCCGUGGACGGAUGCCCGCAGCCCUCCCCAAAGGGAUCAGGUCAGAACCUCGAAACAACCCCAUGGAGAUUUGUGUCCCAACCCCUUUGGGAGCCAUGAGAAAAGAGGAGGUGACUCAGACAGGUGGCCAGGCUCGGGCACAACUGAUAAUGGCAACACCGAGAUUGGAACCCAGGUCUUUCUGGCAUCAAAGUCUUGGUCUUCCGAUGUUUACCUAUGUGUCCCCAAAGUGUCACAUGAAAGGCUACAAGAGAGCUGAGGAGUUAGCUCAGUGGCAUAAGCACCUGGUUGGCAAGCGUGAGGUCGAGAGUUCAAUCCCCAGUACAAAAAAAAAGAAGGAAAAAGAGCUACAAGAGCCGCAGCUUUUAUAGAGCAACUAGGGAAGAAAUAAUCUGAUAAUAAUUAUAAUGGCCACAACAGCAGCUGUUACUGACCAGCCCAUCAUUAUGAAGCAAACCCUUUACCAAGUAGGGUCACAUCCACUCUGCAUUUCCUUCCUGAAUUGCACAAAGGAAGUAUGCACGAUUAGACCCAUUUCACAGAUAGGGAAACUGAGGCUCUGUUGGUAGAGCUAGGAUUUACACUGGGUAUGUCUGAAUUUACAGGAUGCAUUUUUUUUUUUUUUUUUUUUGUAUUUUUACUGGUACCAGGGAUUGAACUCAAGACCACAGGCUUGCAAGACAGGCACUUAUGCCUCUGAGCUAAAUCCCCAGCCCCAACAGGAUGCAUUUUUAACUGCUUGUAAUAGAAUAUGAGUGGGGGGCUGGGGAUUUAGCUCAGCGGCAUAAGGGCUUGCCUUGCAAGCAGGCAGUCGUGAGUUCAAUCCCCGAUACCAAUAAAAAGGAAAAAGACAAAAAAAGAAUAUGAGUGACAGAAAAUCAAAAUAACAAUGACUUCAUAGAAAUAGCAGUUUAUUCCUCUCCAAGUAAAGUCUACAGGCAGCCAACACAGCACAGCGGGGUGGCUCCCCACUCACAAAGGACUCAGCACCAGGCAUCCCAGAAGAGGCACCUGAAGCUCAGAGAGGACAAGUGACUUGCCUGGGACCAGACAGAAAAGAGGGGCAGGGUCGAUUUCAGAAACCUGUCUUAGUGCUCGAAAAGCCUAAACCUAGCCUAGUAGCCUCAGCCUCGGCUUCGCUCCUUCAUGUAGGGACUUUCCCUCAGGUCUAUGGGUUGCUCCUCUCCUCCCCUGGCCGAGUCUAGGCCUCCUUUAACCCCCGAAUUGAGUAACAGAUGCCUUGAUUCCGUCCCCAGGAGCCAUGGGAGAGAGAUGUCUGUCCUCGGCCCUCAGCGCUCUGGCCUGGUGCUCCCGAAGCUCUUUCCUGCUCGCACACUCAGAAUGCAGAGCAGCUUUGCUCUGUGGACAGAACCCCAAUACCAACAGGGACCCUCUAUGUUCUGAGCCCAUGGAGAGGGCACAGUGGACCAGGAAGAAUAAAAAUCUAAGGUCCUUUGGUCAUGCCAGGAGCAAAUAAUCCCAGGGAGGUACCACUCUGUGCCAAUUCCGGGGCUCCAGUAAAUGUGAAUAGGUUAUAUUUCUUUCUAAAUAGACAGUGACUCUUAGGGUUAAAAAUCAGAUAAAUCCAGCUAUGUGAUCUACACACACACACACAUGCACACACACACAAACACACACACCAAAAGCAAAAUAAUGCAGGGUAAAGAUAUGGGAUGGCAAAAGAUCUGUCAACCACUAUUAACCAAAAAUAAAAACAAGGAAGUGACCAGAUACAGCACUGUUACUGAUGGCAUCUCUUUUCCACGGCAGAAGUAUGAUUUGAACCGUGUCUUUCUGUCUCCUGAGUCCCCACUCCACUGGGAGUGUCCAGUUACCUUCCAUGAAGGUGACCACUGUCAUGACCUUGGCCUGAUGGGUUACCAUCUGGAGCCAGGUGUCACCACCCCCAAGUGGGCUGGGGCGGAUGGGAGCAAAGACAAGGCCGGGCUGCUGGAGGAACCAGUCCGGGGCAGGGCAUGCACCGGCCUCCCUGUGGGCAUCUGCCAACUGGCUGUGGCCCAGUUCCUAGAAUACCCGCUGCAGCCCACUGUCCAGCUGGCCCCAGCACAACUCCAGGCUCAGCCGCCAUCCCUGCUUCCCACUCCCCACCUCACAUGGAGGCCAGGAUGUUCCACAAAGCCACAGAGCUGAGGUUCCUGCCUGGAACCAGGCUCCCUCGGGCUGGCAGAGGACGGUGGGCCCACGGGCCCAGGGUGAGGUCUGACAGCAUUUGAGCCAGCACCAAGCUGACAGCCAUCAAGACUGGUAGGGACCCCAGUCAACUCCAAAACAGGGGCAAAAGCAGGUCCGGGGCACCCUCCUCGCUCCCUAGGGAGACUCAGCUUCAUCCCUCCACUAAGCAGGCUCCCCUCACCUCACAGGCCCUACCCAGAGCCCAGGAAGCCCCCUCCCCAGCUGCCUCCUUUCCAGGAACAGGGCAUGGCCAACGCCACGCCUCUUCACAUUCACCCCGGCUGCCACCUCCUCCAAGAUUCUGCCCCCGCUCCCGACGUCUGCAUCAUCAGGAGUAGGAGCCCAGGCACAGCUUUCUGUUCAUUGUGCAUUUCUCAGCCAGCACCACAAAUCUGGAUUGACGGACACGGGUGGCCUUUAAGGGUGGUCGGGAAGCCCGAGGCUCUGUACACAGCUCGUUAUCUGUGUGAGCAUUCGGGGGGCAGCAGUGAUCACUCGGAUUGCUCCUCUUGAGAAUCACUGCUCUAGACCCUGGUGUACAGCCAGGAACAGUAUCCAUCACCGUGUCCUCAAGUGCCACCCAACAAGCAGUCGUUACAUGUGAUUGAGUGAAUGUUGGUAUGAGUUUGAUGGAUGACUUCAGGCGAGGAACUUUGCCUCUUUCCGGUUUCUGGAACAUCAGAACAGGAGGAGAGUUCACGGCCUUCGCCUUCCCUCACCUCUGUUUGCUCCUCACGUGGGAUGGGUGCGUGGGGACGAGCGUGAGAAGAAUGAACAGAGGAGAGAUUGGGGUAGACGGGAGGCUCUGUGUGAGGUGAGUGGGGACUGGGUGGAGAGAGGACUCAGCAGUGCCGUGGGGCAGAAGGAUAAGUUUAAGCAUAGAAAGAUUAGGUCACGAAUAGGUGGGUGGGUGGGUGGAUGGAUGGAUGGAUGGAUGAGAUCAGUGGUGGAAAAAUGGAUAUUUGGGUGUGGAUAGAUAGGUAGAUGGAUUUUU
This is a long non-coding RNA of Cavia porcellus (domestic guinea pig), 14527 nucleotides long. RefSeq lists it as uncharacterized. The transcript has 6 exons. Lineage: Eukaryota; Metazoa; Chordata; Mammalia; Rodentia; Caviidae. The record is from RefSeq and is a predicted model, not a curated record.